CGAGGGGAGUGAAAAAGAACCUGAAACCGUGUACGUACAAGCAGUGGGAGCACAGAGCAAUCUGUGUGACUGCGUACCUUUUGUAUAAUGGGUCAGCGACUUAUAUUCUGUAGCAAGGUUAACCGAAUAGGGGAGCCGAAGGGAAACCGAGUCUUAACUGGGCGUUAAGUUGCAGGGUAUAGACCCGAAACCCGGUGAUCUAGCCAUGGGCAGGUUGAAGGUUGGGUAACACUAACUGGAGGACCGAACCGACUAAUGUUGAAAAAUUAGCGGAUGACUUGUGGCUGGGGGUGAAAGGCCAAUCAAACCGGGAGAUAGCUGGUUCUCCCCGAAAGCUAUUUAGGUAGCGCCUCGUGAAUUCAUCUCCGGGGGUAGAGCACUGUUUCGGCAAGGGGGUCAUCCCGACUUACCAACCCGAUGCAAACUGCGAAUACCGGAGAAUGUUAUCACGGGAGACACACGGCGGGUGCUAACGUCCGUCGUGAAGAGGGAAACAACCCAGACCGCCAGCUAAGGUCCCAAAGUCAUGGUUAAGUGGGAAACGAUGUGGGAAGGCCCAGACAGCCAGGAUGUUGGCUUAGAAGCAGCCAUCAUUUAAAGAAAGCGUAAUAGCUCACUGGUCGAGUCGGCCUGCGCGGAAGAUGUAACGGGGCUAAACCAUGCACCGAAGCUGCGGCAGCGACGCUUAUGCGUUGUUGGGUAGGGGAGCGUUCUGUAAGCCUGCGAAGGUGUGCUGUGAGGCAUGCUGGAGGUAUCAGAAGUGCGAAUGCUGACAUAAGUAACGAUAAAGCGGGUGAAAAGCCCGCUCGCCGGAAGACCAAGGGUUCCUGUCCAACGUUAAUCGGGGCAGGGUGAGUCGACCCCUAAGGCGAGGCCGAAAGGCGUAGUCGAUGGGAAACAGGUUAAUAUUCCUGUACUUGGUGUUACUGCGAAGGGGGGACGGAGAAGGCUAUGUUGGCCGGGCGACGGUUGUCCCGGUUUAAGCGUGUAGGCUGGUUUUCCAGGCAAAUCCGGAAAAUCAAGGCUGAGGCGUGAUGACGAGGCACUACGGUGCUGAAGCAACAAAUGCCCUGCUUCCAGGAAAAGCCUCUAAGCAUCAGGUAACAUCAAAUCGUACCCCAAACCGACACAGGUGGUCAGGUAGAGAAUACCAAGGCGCUUGAGAGAACUCGGGUGAAGGAACUAGGCAAAAUGGUGCCGUAACUUCGGGAGAAGGCACGCUGAUAUGUAGGUGAAGUCCCUCGCGGAUGGAGCUGAAAUCAGUCGAAGAUACCAGCUGGCUGCAACUGUUUAUUAAAAACACAGCACUGUGCAAACACGAAAGUGGACGUAUACGGUGUGACGCCUGCCCGGUGCCGGAAGGUUAAUUGAUGGGGUUAGCGCAAGCGAAGCUCUUGAUCGAAGCCCCGGUAAACGGCGGCCGUAACUAUAACGGUCCUAAGGUAGCGAAAUUCCUUGUCGGGUAAGUUCCGACCUGCACGAAUGGCGUAAUGAUGGCCAGGCUGUCUCCACCCGAGACUCAGUGAAAUUGAACUCGCUGUGAAGAUGCAGUGUACCCGCGGCAAGACGGAAAGACCCCGUGAACCUUUACUAUAGCUUGACACUGAACAUUGAGCCUUGAUGUGUAGGAUAGGUGGGAGGCUUUGAAGUGUGGACGCCAGUCUGCAUGGAGCCGACCUUGAAAUACCACCCUUUAAUGUUUGAUGUUCUAACGUGGACCCGUAAUCCGGGUUGCGGACAGUGUCUGGUGGGUAGUUUGACUGGGGCGGUCUCCUCCUAAAGAGUAACGGAGGAGCACGAAGGUUGGCUAAUCCUGGUCGGACAUCAGGAGGUUAGUGCAAUGGCAUAAGCCAGCUUGACUGCGAGCGUGACGGCGCGAGCAGGUGCGAAAGCAGGUCAUAGUGAUCCGGUGGUUCUGAAUGGAAGGGCCAUCGCUCAACGGAUAAAAGGUACUCCGGGGAUAACAGGCUGAUACCGCCCAAGAGUUCAUAUCGACGGCGGUGUUUGGCACCUCGAUGUCGGCUCAUCACAUCCUGGGGCUGAAGUAGGUCCCAAGGGUAUGGCUGUUCGCCAUUUAAAGUGGUACGCGAGCUGGGUUUAGAACGUCGUGAGACAGUUCGGUCCCUAUCUGCCGUGGGCGCUGGAGAAUUGAGGGGGGCUGCUCCUAGUACGAGAGGACCGGAGUGGACGCAUCACUGGUGUUCGGGUUGUCAUGCCAAUGGCACUGCCCGGUAGCUAAAUGCGGAAGAGAUAAGUGCUGAAAGCAUCUAAGCACGAAACUUGCCCCGAGAUGAGUUCUCCCUGACUCCUUGAGAGUCCUGAAGGAACGUUGAAGACGACGACGUUGAUAGGCCGGGUGUGUAAGCGCAGCGAUGCGUUGAGCUAACCGGUACUAAUGAACCGUGAGGCUUAACCUU
Molecule: ribosomal RNA, 2417 nt
Filed under: Escherichia coli
Lineage: Bacteria; Pseudomonadati; Pseudomonadota; Gammaproteobacteria; Enterobacterales; Enterobacteriaceae
Description: partial 23S ribosomal RNA
Rfam family: Bacterial large subunit ribosomal RNA
Source: RNAcentral